UUGUUUGUUAGAUAACCACAUGUAGUGGUUACGUAGAUUGUAUGUUUAUAUUUUGUUUUACUAUUUCUUGUUGUUUGUGGCGUUCGAGGAACGGAGGACGCACCCCUACAAGCAACAACUUUUAGGUACUAACGAUGCCGAGUACACCGAUGCGUUUAUGGGAUCUAUGUAGCUCGCAAAGAGAGCGGGUAUGGCUCUGCACCGUAACAUGGACUACACGUUACACCUUCCAUACUCAAGUCCACAUAGUGACAAGUGAUAGAUCGGAUACAACGUGCAUCGAGUACACCCAGUGGAGGUUACAGAGGAUCAAGGUACCAUUCAGACAUGUCGUCUAGAAGAUGGAGGAGUACCAGGAACUAUUGAGGCAGUUGGAACCGAUGUCUCAGGAGGAGAGUGACGAUUUUUCCGAGGACACAUUUUAGUUAAUUUUGUACUUCGAGUGAGAUAUGUGGUUUGCUUUAGUACUAGUUUCUUUACUCUUUUGAUGUAUUUUGAAAGAUAUCUUCUCCACAGGUAUGUAUUUUGUUGUAGCAGGGAUGAAAAAUAUAUUUUGUUUAUUAUCACACCAUUAUGGGUUGUAUUCAUAUAUUUCUU
Molecule: long non-coding RNA, 597 nt
Filed under: Glycine max (soybean)
Lineage: Eukaryota; Viridiplantae; Streptophyta; Magnoliopsida; Fabales; Fabaceae
Description: long non-coding RNA (GMAX_LNC003208)
Source: RNAcentral